UACGGAGGGUGCAAGCGUUAAUCGGAAUUAUUGGGCGUAAAGGGCGCGUAGGCGGAUUAUUAAGUCAGAUGUGAAAUUUCGGUGCUCAAAACCGAAGCUGCAUAUGAAACUAGUAGUCUAGAGGGUUAACGGAGAAAACGGAAUUCCACGUGUAGCGGUGAAAUGCGUAGAUAUGUGGAAGAACACCUGUGGCGAAAGCGGUUUUCUAGUAAACAACUGACGCUGAGGCGCGAGAGCAAGGGGAGCAAACAGG
This 253-nucleotide unclassified non-coding RNA is filed under the name uncultured Chlamydiales bacterium. RNAcentral's name for it is "contains 16S-23S intergenic spacer region". It matches the Rfam family "Bacterial small subunit ribosomal RNA", at positions 524 to 776 of the family's 1533-position model. The record is from RNAcentral. Lineage: Bacteria; Pseudomonadati; Chlamydiota; Chlamydiia; Chlamydiales.